GAAUAUUGGGCAAUGGCCGAGAGGCUGACCCAGCCAUGCCGCGUGCAGGAAGAAGGCCUUCUGGGUUGUAAACUGCUUUUAUCUGGGAAGAAAACGCCCCUGCGGGGGUAACUGACGGUACCAGCUGAAUAAGCACCGGCUAACUCCGUGCCCGCAGCCGCUGUAAUACGGCGGGUGCAAGCGUUGGCCGGAUUUAUUGGGUUUAAAGGGUGCGUAGGCGGCCCGUUAAGUCAGUGGUGAAAUCCCAGGGCUCAACCCUGGAACUGCCAUUGAUACUGACGGGCUUGAGUUCGGUUAAGGCGGGCGGAACUGGUGGUGUAGCGGUGAAAUGCAUAGAUACCACCAAGAACCCCGAUUGCGUAGGCAGCUCGCUGAGCCGAAACUGACGCUGAGGCACGAAAGCGUGGGGAGCGAACAGG
This 419-nucleotide ribosomal RNA is filed under the name uncultured bacterium. RNAcentral describes it as "bacterial SSU rRNA". It matches the Rfam family "Bacterial small subunit ribosomal RNA", at positions 359 to 776 of the family's 1533-position model. The record is from RNAcentral.